Myotis brandtii (Brandt's bat) is the source of this 2190-nucleotide long non-coding RNA. RefSeq lists it as uncharacterized. The transcript has 3 exons. The record is from RefSeq and is a predicted model, not a curated record. NCBI's taxonomy places the organism in Eukaryota, Metazoa, Chordata, Mammalia, Chiroptera, Vespertilionidae.
CCCAUUAUCCAACUGCCUAGUUUGGUGCUUCAAUGUACAUGCAUAUUCCGUGUGCAUAUGUGUGUGUACCAACACGCACGCAUGCCUGUGUGGACAGAUGUGUGCACAGGUUCUGCUUUAAGGACAAUUCUUUCAAUGAGGUCUUUACCCCUUACUUGAAACAGGUGUUCAUGAAAAAAAUGCACACAAUCCUGACUGACCGGAAUAAUUCCUGAAGAAGGGGCUGGAUCCGUGGGGCUGGAACGCAGGACCAGUUUGCCAUCCCAAGGCCCAAGUCUGGUGUCUCGGAUUUGGCCCUGCGUUGCCUACUCCUGCUGGAUCUUGUCCAGUUGAGAGACAAAACAUCCUGACAUCUUCCUGAAGAAUGGGAAGAAAGAUUUUGGAAAGCACAGAUUGCAAUACUGAGGAAACUGACACCUGAAGGGUUGCACCCACACCGGCAGGAGCCCCAAGAAUGGCUGGAACUGGGGACUUGCAGGCCCAAGAACCAUGGCGAUGCCAGCAAUGACCAGGAGCCACCCACAGCAGUUCCUGAGCUGUCUGUCCAGGACCCACUGAAUGGAGCACACACAGGGGUCUUUCUCACUUUGCAGUUGCAAAUGCUGGAACAAAGACCAGAAAAGCCAAUGACGCAGCACGAGUCCAAACGUUUUUUAGAGUUACCCUGGGAAAAUGGUCUAAUGAGUUGCGGCCAGUUUUGCCAAUGGAUAUUGUGAGAAGAGAAUUCCCUCCUGCAUUGGAUUCUAUCCUGGAUGCCAUUCCCCACGGAAUGUGAAGAUCUCAUGUCCGCCUUUCAGCAGGCGAUUCCUGCUUCAGCUCUGGGAGUUCUGUUAACCUUCUCUACGAAGAAAUGUUAAUGUCCUCUGAAUUCGUGUUCUGGAUUAAAUAGUCUUACUGGAAACUGGGUCUCUUUAGGUUAGAAGCACCUCUAGACAUUCCUGUGUCUCAGAAGUUGCCAAGUUCAUGUCACACCUGUUUCGUCUGUGAACAGGGUCCACUCUGACAGCUGCUACCGGGCCUGGUCAGUGUCUCCUGCCAUUGGCUCCCUGUGCCUCUCCCCUCCCUGCCUUGUCCCAGGUGAGCCUCACACAGUGGCGACUCUGCCUCUCUUGGUGGGGACCCCAUAUUUGGCAGGCGUGCUUUGGCUGGAUGUGUGAGAGAAAGUGCAGUCUUUGUCAAUUUGGAGGCGACUGCAGCCCGGCUCCCUCCCUCCCUGGGAAAAAUCAGCGUUAGAGAGGCCAGGCUUCUUUCCAUGUGCCAGCUGGUUUCACCCUCACACUCUUACUCUCACCUUUUAGAGUCUCUUCUAACCCAGGGGGGUUGUUCUUUUCUUUCUGCAAUCAAAAGUAACUUUGGUUGUUACUUUUAUUAUUGUAAAGUGGCACAUGCUUAUGACUUAAGCAUCAGAAAGACAAAUGGAAGAAGAGACAGCCAUCCCCUAAUCCUACUUGCCCCAAAGACAGCCACGGCGACUGUUGAAGAGCCUCCCAGAUCCCUUUCUAGGCUCUAGUGUCACCUGUGCAUACACGUGUAACUAAUGUCACAGCACCGCACGUAUUCUCUGAUAACACCCCAUGUCAUUUAAUGUCUAUCACAACAGCUUUUCUAUACAAGCUUUUUAAAAAUGAUCAAGUGAUACCUUUAAUUACAGAAGAGAAAACUGAGGCCAAGUGUAAUGUAAAAAAAAGUGAGGGUGCUAAAUCAUUUUGUGUGAAGAAAUAAAGCCACAUGGAUAUAGCUCAAGAAUGCACAUCCCCAUUUAUUUAUUUAUUUCUUACUUUUGCCAUGAGUUACGUGAGUCUGCAGCCACUGUAAUGUAAGAGUACUAUCCCCAAUUACAGAGAUGUACCAUCUUUGCUUACCUAAUCACACAUGGCUGGACGUUGAGGUUGUUUCCAGCUUUCCUCUGUGUUAAGCAGCAUGAAUGACCAUGGUUCUAGCUUAAUCUUCACAUGGAUUAUUUUCUUAAGGCAAUUCCCCAGAAAGAGAUCAAAGGACAAUUAAUGAAGGUUACAAAGACCUCAAAGUAUGGAGCCAGCAUUAACUACUUUGUGCCUAAAUGUGUUAGACACUGGGCCACUGGGAAGGCACACAUGCCCUUUCUUAGAGGACUUCACAUAUCCACGCUUGGGUUACUCCGCCUCCAUUACCUUGCCCAGAACAGAGCAUAGCUAUGAAUGAUGGUGGAGU